Molecule: ribosomal RNA, 1090 nt
Filed under: Vibrio parahaemolyticus
Lineage: Bacteria; Pseudomonadati; Pseudomonadota; Gammaproteobacteria; Vibrionales; Vibrionaceae
Description: partial 23S ribosomal RNA
Rfam family: Bacterial large subunit ribosomal RNA
Source: RNAcentral
CCCAGAUUAGGUAGUAACAACCAUUUGAGUCUGGGAUUUCUGAAUGGGGAAACCCACUUACAUAAGUAAGUAUCAUUAACUGAAUACAUAGGUUAAUGAGGCGAACCGGGGGAACUGAAACAUCUAAGUACCCCGAGGAAAAGAAAUCAACCGAGAUUCCGAAAGUAGCGGCGAGCGAAAUUGGACUAGCCCUUAAGCUUUACACGCGUUAGACGAACGGUCUGGAAAGUCCGACGAUACAGGGUGAUAGUCCCGUAGUUGACGACGUGUGUUCAGUGAAAUCGAGUAGGGCGGGACACGUGAUAUCCUGUCUGAAUAUGGGGGGACCAUCCUCCAAGGCUAAAUACUACUGACUGACCGAUAGUGAACCAGUACCGUGAGGGAAAGGCGAAAAGAACCCCUGUGAGGGGAGUGAAAUAGAACCUGAAACCGUGUACGUACAAGCAGUAGGAGCACCUUCGUGGUGUGACUGCGUACCUUUUGUAUAAUGGGUCAGCGACUUAUAUUCAGUGGCAAGGUUAACCAUCUAGGGGAGCCGUAGGGAAACCGAGUCUUAACUGGGCGUUCAGUCUCUGGAUAUAGACCCGAAACCAGGUGAUCUAGCCAUGGGCAGGUUGAAGGUUGAGUAACAUCAACUGGAGGACCGAACCGACUAAUGUUGAAAAAUUAGCGGAUGACUUGUGGCUAGGGGUGAAAGGCCAAUCAAACCUGGAGAUAGCUGGUUCUCCCCGAAAGCUAUUUAGGUAGCGCCUCGGACGAAUACUACUGGGGGUAGAGCACUGUUAAGGCUAGGGGGUCAUCCCGACUUACCAACCCUUUGCAAACUCCGAAUACCAGUAAGUACUAUCCGGGAGACACACGGCGGGUGCUAACGUCCGUCGUGGAGAGGGAAACAACCCAGACCGCCAGCUAAGGUCCCAAAUUACUACUAAGUGGGAAACGAUGUGGGAAGGCUCAGACAGCCAGGAUGUUGGCUUAGAAGCAGCCAUCAUUUAAAGAAAGCGUAAUAGCUCACUGGUCGAGUCGGCCUGCGCGGAAGAUGUAACGGGGCUAAGUAGUAAACCGAAGCUGCGGCAAUAUACUUUUGUAU